UGUCUAGCCGAGGUAGUCUUCUUUGCC
Molecule: non-coding RNA, 27 nt
Filed under: Mus musculus (house mouse)
Lineage: Eukaryota; Metazoa; Chordata; Mammalia; Rodentia; Muridae
Source: RNAcentral